CAAUUGUUAGUUCUCCACCUUCGCUGCUUUACUUUUGUAUCUUAGCGGCUGGCGCGCGAGCAGGUCCUAAAAUUAUCAACAUUAUUAGAUUCGCGAUUAUAAAAUGUGCCGCGUUUUGAAACAAGUGCAUGUAUAAAUAAAUGGUUUACAAAAUGAUACUAAGAUUUUUCAAUUGGCCAAAAUGUUGGUUACUCCUGGGAUUUUUCUCUGUAUCAGCCAUCGAUUACGACCAACCCAAUAUACUUUUUAUAAUGGUUGACGAUAUGUUCCAAGUCAUAACACCCAAGGCAGAAGGAGAUACAAACUAAUAUUUUUGAUAAAUUUAUUAUGGCUUUUUUUACCAAUUUUAUCCAUCAGGUUAUAAUAUUUAAUCGUUUUUAAUCCUUAAAUUGUUAUAGGC
Long non-coding RNA from Zerene cesonia (dogface butterfly), 400 nucleotides. RefSeq lists it as uncharacterized. The record is from RefSeq and is a predicted model, not a curated record. Lineage: Eukaryota; Metazoa; Arthropoda; Insecta; Lepidoptera; Pieridae. The transcript is spliced from 3 exons.